RNAcentral lists this ribosomal RNA (630 nucleotides) under uncultured bacterium. RNAcentral describes it as "bacterial SSU rRNA". It matches the Rfam family "Bacterial small subunit ribosomal RNA", at positions 8 to 649 of the family's 1533-position model. The record is from RNAcentral.
AGAGUUUGAUUAUGGCUCAGGAUGAACGCUGGCGGCGUGCUUAACACAUGCAAGUCGAACGGGCUCAUAUUGAAACCUAGUGAUGUAUGAGUUAGUGGCGGACGGGUGAGUAACGCGUGGAGAACCUGCCGUAUACUGGGGGAUAACACUUAGAAAUAGGUGCUAAUACCGCAUAAGCGCACAGCUUCGCAUGAAGCAGUGUGAAAAACUCCGGUGGUAUACGAUGGAUCCGCGUCUGAUUAGCUGGUUGGCGGGGUAACAGCCCACCAAGGCGACGAUCAGUAGCCGGCCUGAGAGGGUGAACGGCCACAUUGGGACUGAGACACGGCCCAAACUCCUACGGGAGGCAGCAGUGGGGAAUAUUGCACAAUGGGGGAAACCCUGAUGCAGCGACGCCGCGUGAGUGAAGAAGUAUUUCGGUAUGUAAAGCUCUAUCAGCAGGGAAGAAAAUGACGGUACCUGACUAAGAAGCCCCGGCUAACUACGUGCCAGCAGCCGCGGUAAUACGUAGGGGGCAAGCGUUAUCCGGAUUUACUGGGUGUAAAGGGAGCGUAGACGGCAGCGCAAGUCUGAAGUGAAAUCCCAUGGCUUAACCAUGGAACUGCUUUGGAAACUGUGCAGCUGGAGUGC